UACGGAGGGUCCGAGCGUUAUCCGGAAUUAUUGGGUUUAAAGGGUCCGUAGGCGGGCCAUUAAGUCAGGGGUGAAAGUCUGCAGCUCAACUGUAGAAUUGCCUUUGAUACUGGUGGUCUUGAGUUAUGGUGAAGUGGCUGGAAUAUGUAGUGUAGCGGUGAAAUGCAUAGAUAUUACAUAGAAUACCGAUUGCGAAGGCA
Molecule: ribosomal RNA, 200 nt
Filed under: uncultured bacterium
Lineage: Bacteria
Description: partial 16S ribosomal RNA
Rfam family: Bacterial small subunit ribosomal RNA
Source: RNAcentral